UCGGACGUGGUGUAUGGUGCACCCCUGCUCUGAUUAACCAGAAUGGGUCCGCCUACUUACAAGCGGGAGAACCGGGUUCGAUUCCCGGCGUCCGAA
This is a non-coding RNA of Mycena crocata, 96 nucleotides long. The record is from the annotation of a GenBank genome assembly. NCBI's taxonomy places the organism in Eukaryota, Fungi, Basidiomycota, Agaricomycetes, Agaricales, Mycenaceae.